GGGGUGGUGGUGGUGGUGGUGGUGGUGGUAGAGGGAGUAGUGGUGGAGGUGGUGGUGUUGUCUGCUCUAUGGAACAAUAUAGAAAUGGUCAACCAGCUAGGCAGAGCAGUACAUUCACCAAGUUAGUCCCAGUAAACACAGUAAGAACCAUGCACUGUGAACUAAGUCCAACCUUCAGUUUCAGAAACAGAAUAAUGAAUGCUAAACAAUUUAACCAUCACUUAUUUCUUAUGAAACCAAGACCAGACUAUAGUUGCUUCCAAAUGUAUUAUCAGUGAGAUAAUCUAGCAUUAUUUUGACCACUUUGCAGUCUCUUACAGUCAGCCUAAAUGAUAUUUAUGUAAUAAAUGAAUCAAAUGCACUAUUGACUGUAGAUGUUUUUCUAAAGUACAUCAUUUUCUCGUUGUCAUAGGUUGUGAAAAAAGAUAAUAGCAAAGGAAUAGUUUAAUGUUGGUUUUGAGAUAUUUCGAGAGUGGAUGUGGGCUAUAUAAAUCACCCAUAUUAUCACACAGCUCACGAGAAAGGUACAUUGGAAACAUAACAUAAUCUUUGACAAUACUGAGGUAUAGACCUGUUGGCUCUCCCCUGCCCAUAGAUGGUUGACCUCACUUAUACCUAUGUGUGACUUACAAGCAGACGUUUAGCAUUAGUAUCAUCUUAUGAUACUAUAAAUUGACAUGACUUAAGAACUUUCCAGGAUUUGUUUUCCAACAAUGCCAUGUUUUGUCGGCAGUCCCUCCCUGGCCUUUCUUGUCAUUCUCUCUUUUGUUUGAUUAACUUAUUGUACCAGUGGCUCAUGUCAUUGUGUUCAAUUAAUAGUUAGUUAAAAAGUUGGGAAAACAUGCAAUGCAACCCUGAAAUACGCCCCUGUCGCUGUUGUCCUUGGUUUAUAUACUAUACAGUCAAGAAAGAGUUUAGAAUUUAUGUUUGUAAGAUUACUAUAACAUAAUGUAUUUUUCAGCUAUACAAUAUAUUCACAAGUAUAGAAUUAGUUAGAAUUAAGCCUACAGCUUUUUGUUUGGUGUUUUAACUGUCAUGUUCUUAUAUUUCACGUUUUUACUUAAUUGUAGAGACACAGGAUCAGUUUUGCAGUGUGUUUGAAUCAUCUAUGUGCUUGUGUGUUCCAGGGCUUUAAUUUGCCUAUUUUUCUUGCAACCAUUAUGUACCGGUGCAUUUGUAAAUAGUUUUUAGUUAGUGGGCAAAGGAUAGACAGCCAUUGAGUAAGACAUCGUAGCUUGUCAGAAGCGCCUAUCUUCUCGUUGGACAUGAACCCUCUUUUCAAAUGGGAGAUACUGUACUUUCAGUUGAAGAAAAAAAAUAGGAAAAUAUAACAAACGUAGUGCGAAGACUAAUGUCAGUUACUAGUAUAGCUCUUGUGACUAAGCAGGCUUUUAGAGAAAAACCCAUUCUGUUUAUCUUACAGUUCCUGAUUUACUUUCCUUCAGUGUCCUCACAUUCAUUUUAUUCACUCACCUAGAGUAGUAAUACGUAGUAACUCAGAAACGAACAAUUACCAUGACAGUAAACCUGCUGGCAUACAUUAUACAGAUACAGUCCAACUACAUAAUAUCAGUUGAAUCUAAAGUAUAUAUACACAGUUUUUUAAAUCAAUAUGUUCUUCAUCAACAACUUUAACACAUAUAAUGGAAAGCGUUUGAGAUACAGACAGAAAUGUAACUAUAGGAAUAUGCUUUGAGGGAUAUAAGGAGUAUGCCUAGCUAUCAAGUGCCUAUUUAUACAUUACUAUACUAAAUCUUCAUAAAGUAGUUUUGCUCUCCUACCGUACAUUUUCCAAAUAUAUACAGUAGCUAUAUACACAUGAUAAUCUAUACACAAAUUAUAACAAUAUUUAUACUACUAUAACAGCAAUGUUGGUCACAGUCAUAACACAGUGCAUCCUAAGAAAGCCCUUUAAAAUAUCUUUAUCCUCCUCAAAUCUUCUAUUUAUAUAAGAUAGAUUUGUUAUUAUUUCCUGCUGACAUACUUAGUUUUAUAACUAGUACAUAGGAGAAAACUGCUAAGAUAAACAACUGGAGUUCAUGAACUGUAGUAAAGGUUCGCUUUAAGGGGCCUAGCCAUGAGGCAUUCAACUAACUCUUCUUCAUUAAAACAAUGAGUAAGCAUGUGUAGUAAUAUGAUAUAGUAGCUAGUCCCUAUCUUAAUGUUUGCCAUUACAAAAACACAACAUUGUUUUGUUCGUCUAAAGCUACAGGUAUGUUUCACGAAAGAUUUUGAACAGUUUUGCGUAGUUUGCCCAGGUUUGUAAGCACACCUAAAUUGUCAAGACUUCUGGCUUAUCAGCACCAGCCAUCAUUCUUCUGCCACACUGAAUGUCUAUAAUUACAUUUGGGGGGUUUUUGCUGUUAAAAAUAAUAUAAAUAGUAGUCACUAAACCACUUCUUUUCUUACCUUUCGAUGUUUGUUUUGAUGCAAAAUACCUACCACAAUCAAAUGUUGUCCUUAGACAUAGCCUAGCUGUUCUCUCAUAAUACAGUGAUUAUGAUCUCACAUAAGACAUGCCAGUCAGUUGAGCACAUUCCUUGUGUUUGUUCUCUGGUUGUAGCUCAUAAUGAUGGAUAAAGUGUAUACUAUUGUCUUUGUGCUGGUCGGAAUGUUUCAGACCUAGCAAUCAAUGAUGCUACUCGGUCCCUGCAGCUAGCUACACGUGCGCGCCUACGUUACUGUACUUGAUCAGUGACAUCAGUGCAGUGCUAUAUUUGCUUCAGCUACUACAGCCUACAACAACACAGCAAUAUCAGUUAGAAGUGCAAUCAAGUUUUACAUGAAGAGUACCAAGCAUUUGUCUGAGUGCUAGCUGUAAUUAAAAGUGUCCUUGUAAGCAAGAAUCAGACCGCUAGCAGUCUUGUCAUAAUCUAUCGUUUUAUGAGAGUGUUACUCUACAAUAUGAUUUGGAAUCAAUAUUCACCAAUUGUGUGUCUCUACCUUGAAUUGAUAAGGAAAGUUAGUGUCAUAAAUGAUUAGGACCCAAUACCCGCAGCAUAUCUGAAAUAUGCACAUUCCUGUAAUGUCCAGAACAUUCCUGUCCCUAGUCUGGCCUCACUCUACGAGAUUAUGUUGUCGAUUAUUUCAGACUCAGUAACAAAUGAUGUGACCCCAACAGCCUUACUAGGACAAUAAAUCAAUGACUUUCUUUUCAUUACUUGCUGGUCUGCUCUGCUGGUUCUUUUGUCAUGUGACAUUUACCCCUCUAUGUUGGUUUACGUUUAGUUGAAUCUCCACAAUAAUCAUCCUCACAUUUAUGUUUAUUAUAGUGUCACUGGCUUGCUAAACUGUAUAUGAUUGCAGAUGCGUCUCAGAAAAGCACUGCUUAGCAUCUCUGGCAUUGAUGGUCCCAUCAUUGGAUUUUGUUUAGCUUCUAACCAUAGUGCAGAAUACGCCCCUGCAUAAAGGAAAAUGGCCUGCUUGCUACCAUGGUGUGUUCUUCUGGAACAUGGUGUGUCCUUCUACCUAUCGGAUUGUGUUCCAUAUGCAAUAUAUCUCAAACUCUCCCUUAAAUGUUGUCUCUUAGUUUACGGAGAAUACUGAGUCAUCUAGAAGAUGUGGAGUUUGAAAGGUGCUGAAUAAAAGAGCCUCAACAGUAGCUUGCUUAGCACCUUGAAUAAUUGUCUUGGGGCUUUCAGCAGGUCUCUUGCACUUCUCACAUGUCCAAAAUAUAAUUUAUGUCUAUGGUGAGACUAAGCAACAUGCACUGCACUGUAUUACCCAUAUGUUUUUCUACGUUUGUCUCUCUUUUACCUAAUAGGUUUGGUGAACAUAUUUCUGCCCACUUUCUGCCGUGUACCAGACAUACUUGUGGUCUCAAUCAGCAUGCAAUCAUAUAUAAUUAGUUUGGACAUGCAGAGCUUCCAUUACAAUACGUUGCUUGGUGUUGUUAAAGGUGCCGGUGGUAGUAAUGAUUUGUUGUGAUAUGAAACCAAACCAUCAGGGGGCUAUUGAACAUGUUGGAUGACAUAUGCUUGUUUCCGUAAACACCAAAGAAUGAUAAUAAUAUCACAGUGUCUGAAUUUCAAGCAGAAAGAACAUUAUCUGUUGUGUAAGCGAUAACAAAGACUACCAAGAUGUACGUUCCUAUAAAUUUGUAUGUGUUCAAAUCUGGCAAGAUGGCUAAAAUUAUAUUUUCUUUGAUACUCAAGACAGGGUGCUUGUGAAAAUGCUUUUCUGCGUUUUGUCCUCUGAUCGCUAUUGGUAGACUGUAGUUUAAUUGUUGUGUUAAUGUGCCUACUGUAGACCAAAAUAGCUUUUCUAAAGAAAUUCAGCAAAAUAUAAAAAGAAACCUGACACGUAGUAGUUGUUGUAGAACUAUAGCAUGUUAUAACAUGAAUAAGAUUGUAAAUGUUGCAUUGUUCCUCUGCUUAAAAUUAAUACUCAAUAUCCAUUAGUUAUUUUUUCUACACACACUUAGCAAAUUGAUUUAGGCCUUUCCAAUACACAUUUGAUUUUGUUUGAUUGAUCCGUUUAUCUUUGUUUAAUCCGUUUGUCUGUUAUUCCAGUUUUCAGUCAUUGAUUUCUUCCUUCCGUCUUGUUGAUUUCAAAGCUUUUAUUCUCUGAUAAACUAAAUGCACUGGAUUAGUGGAGAACGGAUACUAAAUUGACAUGCCAUGCACAAUGUAUCUGUUUGUCUGACUAAUAUUCUAAAGACAUCUGUCUCAAAAUGUUAUUCAAACAUAUAGUGGAAGAUCCAUACUGAAUUUAGACUGUUUUUUCAAACUUUGAGGUGGACCAAAAUAUGAGUUGCUUUUGCACAUCCUUGUUCUGCAAUGUGUUGAUGCCAUUGAGUAAAAGAGUAGGAAGAUUAAACUUGCCGCUGCCCAGAACAACCGAACCAAGCAACACAAAGAGGCCUAAAUCUGAUUUAAGGGCAAAUGAUUUAUCCCACAAUACGAUAUUAUAACAUUUUGAUGGCUUACCUAGAGCCUGCUACAGAUACAUUUCCCCCAGAGAGCUUUAAACUCAAAAGCCAGCUGACAUUUGAUGAAUAAUUAAGGCAAAAACAACAAAACAGUGUAAAGAUAUUACUAUUAAUUGAGUUGUAUUAACAUCUUGAUGAGUUGGACCAAAUUUCUUAUCAGUUGGUAGCAUACAGUACAUGAUGUUGAUUACUACAUUAUAUAUUUGUUGUAAUAUGAAUUGUUCAUAUCAAAGAAAAAUGUAAACCGUUGGAAAAUAUGUAUGAGUAAAAUGUCACUUAUUGUGGAGGUAUGACAUCCUUUGUAUGAGUAAAAUGUCACUUAUUGUGGAGGUAUGACAUAAUUUGAAAGUUUUUUUCAAGCUGGAUGUUUGAAAUAUGAUUAGUUAUUUGGGUCAUGCUUCUUUAGUGUGGUAGUUGAAUGAAGUCAGUGUCUACAUUGGUCAUUGUAAGAUCCACUCAGUGAUGAAUCAGAAAGUCAGUAUGCUCCCACAGUACAUGUGUAGAUUUAUGUUACAGAAAGCUUCGGUUUUUAAUCAGAUAUUCAAGCUUUUUUUCUGCCAUCUUAAAGCUGUUUAUUUAACAAAUGUACCUGCAGUGAAAAAUAAGUUGCACUUACACAUAUAUAUAUAUAUAUAUAUAUAUAUAUAUAUAUAUAUAUAUAUAUAUAUAUAUAUAUAUAUAUAUGUGUGUGUGUGUGUGUAUGAACAUGUUUUUAAUUAAGAAUCUUUUGUUAGGUUUUGUUGCCUGCUUUGGCUUCUGAUUUCUUUAUCUUCCUGAUCAAAUACUCCUUAUAUAUUAGAAUAAUAAACUUGGCAGAAGUGGAGCUGUUGUAGUAAAGGUAUAUAACAUCACAAAUAAGCAACCCUGACUUAUAUGCUGCAGUAAUGUUGUUUUUUCAGUUUGUUUUCUUUUAUGUGUGCUCUAAGUUGGUUGGUAUUUUUAUUACUGUUAUGAAACAACCUUGUUUGAAUUGUAAGACUGCUGUUUUGAAAUAGGUGAUGAGUUUUUUUUAUGUAUGUAGGUAGGCUACAAGGAAGUGUCAUACUUUGACUUGUCAAACACUGGACUGGAGUGAGUUUUCCAACAUUUCCAAGUUGAGAGCUACUAUAUGAGACAUGAACCGACUGCACAGAAUAAAGCCUUAUCGCACCCAUUACCUGACAGACAGAGAGGGUCCAACCUGCUACAGAAGGAAUAGUGACUUCUCUGAUUGGAAAUUAUAUUUCCACCAUUUAAUAGAUAAGGUGCUGAAAUAUAUCUGCCAAAAUGUUGCAUUUGUCAGGCUUAUAAAAUCUGGCCAUCAUAAUUUUACAAUAAUGAUUUCAAAAUUCCCUGUUCUAACAAAAUAAGUAAAUGCUAAAAUAUCAAAAGGGAUACCACUUAAUAGCAAUUCAUUAAUCAAAAGAAACCACUUGGUAUAUGUUGUCUUACUAUGUCAAUCAAACAUAUAGAUUGAACCCUGUAGUGAUCUUAAUGUCAGAGUCUUUUUUAGAGCCAACUACCACUUAUCAAACCAGAAAAGAGAUUUGCACUAAACAUAUUUUGGUCUUCGUUGAUGGAAAGCAAUAUGACACAGAACAAUUGACACAUUCUUCAAGCCACAGUAUCUCAAAUAAGAGAGCUGUCUGUGCACAGGGGUAAUGCUGUGUAAAAGGUGAUAUUUGAAAGGUUUGUUGGGGGAAAAAACUGUGUAAAGGUACAGAAUGGAAACUUGUUGUCUUUGAGACGCACAUUAUAAACUUGGACACGCACACAUUGUUGUUCAGAGUUGACAUAUUUGACCAAUCAGAAGUGUCCGAGUCUGAGGUGCAUAGUUUCCUCUUGUGAUUGUUUUGGAGAAAAUGAAACGGCUCUUACUAGCCCUAAAUGAGGGACGGGAAGGAGAGGAGAGCUACAACAUAUCCCAUAAACAUGCAAUCAUUGUAAAAUGUCCUCAUCAAAAAGAUAACUGAACAAAAGGUAAAAAAGGUUUAUGUUACGUAGAAACAUUUUUUUCCCAAAUGAUUCCAACAUAAGACAUUAAACUUCCUCCAUGUUAAAACAUACAGUUUUCUUCACUGAUUUACUCAUUUUUGUUUUAAAACACUCAUAUGAUCUGUAAAGAUUCGAGGUCAGUUCAAGGUCAUUUUUCUGGGAAAUGAUUGAUUAAAAAUAUUUAUGAAAAAAAGACUACAACAUUUGUGUCGUAAAACACUGAUGGAUGGGAAAUGCAACUUUCCUUGUCAAUUGUAACAUCAGUUUCGCCAUCCAAAGAAUCAAAGCCCACCCACAUAUAUUGUAAUUCAUAAUUAUCCAUAAGAAAAUAGACAGAGUAGUGAGGUGAAAUAUUGUUGACGCCUAAAUGUUCUUUAUUGAGAAUUUUAAAUCAUCAAUCAUUUAUGAUAGCAAUCAUGACAACUAUGAUUUUUGGUAUCUGGAAAUAUUAGCUUUCCUGUUAUUAGGCCUACCGUUUUGUGGUGCUGCAGUUUGUCUAAAUAUGUUGCGUGUUAGAGGAAGCAUAAGUAUGUGCCUUCUUGUAAUCUCCUUGGUGAGCUUGUUAUUAUUGAGAAGCUUAAGCCAGCCAAUUGUGUUUGCACUAAAACCAAAUUGCUUUUGUGAUGUAGGCUAUUUAAAGCAAGCUUGUUGCGUCACUUUAACCGUACAGUAUGCAUGAGGGUGAAAUUGGUAAGUGAUAGGGCUAGAGCUCCCAUCUGUUGAACUAGUGCAGCUUAGGGAAUCCCCUGAACAUAUCAGCUUUGUACUGCGUUCAGUUUUUGAUUCCAUCUCAUUCAUUACUCUUCUAAAUUAUCACAGACACAUGUUCCACAGUAAAUAGUCUCUGUGGAAUAUCCACACUCUAAAAGAUAAGUAAAUAACAUAAGAAAUCAAAUACAGCUCUCCUUUUAUAUUUGUUUCAUAUGCCACAGCUGAACAGCUGCAUUACUGUAGUAAGAGAUAUUCAACCAUUCUCUCAGCCCAUGGAGGUGCAUGAUUACAAGAGGUCGCCACGAGACUUGGUCAACGUUAUUUUUAUGUUUUGUGAAAGUUUCUGUUUCUAAGUUAUUUGUGUUUGUUUAAAUCUAAGAGAAAGACCUACAGUACAUGCUUUGAGUCUUACAAAUGCACCUUAUUCAUGUCAGUCUGAGUGGAAAAGACUGGCUAUGUAAUAUCUCUGGUUUAACACCUUACUACACAGCAUGUUUUCACUUUAUGACAGUUUUGCUAUUCUUCCGUGCAUAUGAUUUCCAAAAUAAACCUUAUAUAUUUUGUGAAAAUGUUUAAAGGGAUGUGCCAAAGUUUGGAGGCGAUCUCCCAAGUUUUUAUGCUAAUAAAUUUGUUCUUUCUUCCUCCUUCAGUUAUCACAAUGGUAUGUCAGACCUUUCCUAUCAAUGUGUGAAAGCAAGUUAUUUCAGCAAACAGUAUCAUUACCUGCCAUUUUACAGCAAGCCCUGUAUUUCACGUAUAUUUACCAGUGAUGUGUAUUUGUUAUUAUAAAGAAAAAUAGCCGUAAAGCUUCAUUAUGUUACAUAAUAUUGUGACUUUUUUCGAAAAACUGUGAAGACUUAUCUUGCAUAUACUUUAUACAGAAGUAUUAAGCCUUAAUACAAAAGACUAAAAAAAGUGAGGAAGAAUAAACUGAUUGUUGCUAAGUAAGGAUGAUUUUUUGUAAAUGUUACCAGCACUUUUUUUGUAAUUUUCACUCUGAGGUAUUGUACAAGUUCACGCUGUUUGUGAAGUUUGAUUAUGAAGGAAUAAAAACUAGUACUUUCCUGUACUUCACAGAAAGUAAUGUUGUGUUUUUAUUUCAUUAAA
Molecule: long non-coding RNA, 8722 nt
Organism: Oncorhynchus tshawytscha (Chinook salmon)
Lineage: Eukaryota; Metazoa; Chordata; Actinopteri; Salmoniformes; Salmonidae
Source: Ensembl